Molecule: transfer RNA, 73 nt
Filed under: Candidatus Shikimatogenerans bostrichidophilus
Lineage: Bacteria; Pseudomonadati; Bacteroidota; Flavobacteriia; Flavobacteriales
Description: tRNA-Met
Rfam family: tRNA
About the family: Transfer RNA (tRNA) molecules are approximately 80 nucleotides in length. Their secondary structure includes four short double-helical elements and three loops (D, anti-codon, and T loops).
Source: RNAcentral
GACGUAAUAACUCAGUUGGUAGAGUAUUGGUCUCAUAAUCCAAAAGUCGGGGGUUCAAUUCCCCCUUACGUCA